UUCUCCUCGGUGGACAGCAGUCCACGACUGCUUGUUCUUUUCUUAUUGUUCUUCUUUCUACUUCUUCUUCUCUGUUCUUCAUUUCUUCUCCUCUUUACCGAAUGAGAGAGUUGAGAGACAGUGGGAGUGAGAUUCAGGGAGAUUGAGAGGGAAAGAGAGACUGAGAGACCGAGAGAGAGCCGGGAGCCGAAACCCGCAACCCGUCGUGCAGUGCACAGAGCCGACGAACGGCGGUUCCAGUGGCGAUUCCGGCGAACCAAAGCCGAAAUCCGACGGUUUGAUGGCGAUUUUCGACGAUCCCAUGGCAAAACCCAUAACCCGAGCGACUCGAUCCACGAAGACCCGUCAAACCCGAACGACCCACUGAACCAGAGACGAUCCAACGGCCUAAGAUGCGAUUUCCGGCGGAUGGAGGCCGUUCUCUGGUGGUUUCUGUUGGUAGUGGACUGCCCAGAACCCCACGAACCCGAGACCUGCAACCCAUGACCCGCUGAACCGUGAGGAAGACCCAGUCCUCCAGGAGUGAUUUCCGGCGACUUUUCCGGCGGAGUCAGUGGCGUUUUUCGAUGAUGUUUCUUUGGCUGCAGGUACUUCGGUAUAGUCGAUGGGUUGGUAGCAGUGUGCUUGGGAUAUUAUGACUGAAGCUCGCCGCGACAGUUAUAAUUGUCGGACCACGGGUUGUCCACUAUUUUAUAGGUUUGAUAUGGCUUGUGAUGUUUGUGUCACUUAUUCUUUGUUAAGCCAUUAUUGUUAUAGUGUUAAUAAGACUCAAACAGAUAGGUGUUAAAUGGCUAUUUGUUGUAAUUAAUUUGUGAUAGAUGUGUAAGUUGUAAUUUUCGCUAUUCAGAUUUAUGUUUUCCGCUGCAUAGAUAGAUGUAUGUUAUACUCUGAUUAUUGGGUACAUGUUAUGGGGCAUGUGCCAUAUGUUGGUUGAGCGACACAUAGUCGUGCCACUGUGAGGACUCGUUUUAUGUUUGUAUAAAAAAAAAAAAGAAGGGGUCGUCACAGGAAAUAUGCAAAGCCCUUUUUUAAUUUUUUUGGUUGGUCAUGUUAGAAUAUAAAUUAAAUAAUUAUAUUUA
Long non-coding RNA from Alnus glutinosa, 1079 nucleotides. RefSeq lists it as uncharacterized. The transcript is spliced from 2 exons. Lineage: Eukaryota; Viridiplantae; Streptophyta; Magnoliopsida; Fagales; Betulaceae. The record is from RefSeq and is a predicted model, not a curated record.